Molecule: long non-coding RNA, 334 nt
Filed under: Mytilus galloprovincialis (Mediterranean mussel)
Lineage: Eukaryota; Metazoa; Mollusca; Bivalvia; Mytilida; Mytilidae
Source: RNAcentral
UGCCUUGUGUGUCUUUGAUUCUCUUAUAAGCCAUUUUUUCUUUGCAGCAACAUCUGUUGGAAUAAAAGUGUGAGCACAUUGUUUGAAUUUUUUUCCUUCAAAGGUGUGUGUGUUGACUAUGUGAUCACAAAUUGAUAACCAACUCUCUUACAACAGGACUUUGUCACCCUCACAGUUACUGGCGCACCACCAUAAAUGAUUGCAAACGGCUUUAAUCCAAAAGAUCAAAUCUUCACAACCUUUUGACUUAGCUUUUCCAGUCAACUUUUUCUUUAGUGAUUUGCAUAAAUGCCAUACAUCAAAUUGAUGAUUUACAUUUGAAAAAUCCUUUUUC